ACCUUCUUUUUCCAAAGCGCCAUGCCAAAACCAGCGGUUCUAAGUUUUAGAGCUUAGUUCUGUUGGUCAUGCUAGUAUGGUAUGUUUUAAAGAAGGGAGAGCAAAAAUGCAGCAUCGGAAAUGAGUCCAGGAGGAACCUCUUUCCUAAUGUUCAGUGUUCUAGGGCUCAAGAUUCUGUGUUACACAU
Molecule: small nucleolar RNA, 187 nt
Organism: Electrophorus electricus (electric eel)
Lineage: Eukaryota; Metazoa; Chordata; Actinopteri; Gymnotiformes; Gymnotidae
Product: Small nucleolar RNA SNORA81
Source: Ensembl